This 253-nucleotide ribosomal RNA is filed under the name uncultured bacterium. RNAcentral's name for it is "partial 16S ribosomal RNA". It matches the Rfam family "Bacterial small subunit ribosomal RNA", at positions 524 to 776 of the family's 1533-position model. The record is from RNAcentral.
UACGAAAGGGGCUAGCGUUGUUCGGAUUUACUGGACGUAAAGCGCACGUAGGCGGUCUUGUAAGAUGGGGGUGAAAUCCCCGGGCUCAACCCGGGAACUGCCUUCAUGACUGCAAAGCUAGAGGAUGCGAGAGGUUGGCGGAAUUCCGAGUGUAGAGGUGAAAUUCGUAGAUAUUCGGAAGAACACCAGUGGCGAAGGCGGCCAACUGGCUCAUUUCUGACGCUGAGGUGCGAUAGCUUGGAGAGCAAACAGG